RNAcentral lists this ribosomal RNA (2025 nucleotides) under Streptomyces albidoflavus. RNAcentral describes it as "bacterial LSU rRNA". It matches the Rfam family "Bacterial large subunit ribosomal RNA", at positions 1040 to 2925 of the family's 2925-position model. The record is from RNAcentral. Lineage: Bacteria; Bacillati; Actinomycetota; Actinomycetes; Kitasatosporales; Streptomycetaceae.
UAAGGCCCCUAAGCGUACGCUAAGUGGGAAAGGAUGUGGAGUCGCAGAGACAACCAGGAGGUUGGCUUAGAAGCAGCCACCCUUGAAAGAGUGCGUAAUAGCUCACUGGUCUAGUGAUUCCGCGCCGACAAUGUAGCGGGGCUCAAGCGUACCGCCGAAGUCGUGUCAUUGCAGCAAUACUCCCAACGGAGGCUGUGAUGGGUAGGGGAGCGUCGUGUGCCGGGUGAAGCAGCCGUGGAAGCGAGUUGUGGACGGUUCACGAGUGAGAAUGCAGGCAUGAGUAGCGAUUCACACGUGAGAAACGUGUGCGCCGAUUGACUAAGGGUUCCUGGGUCAAGCUGAUCUGCCCAGGGUAAGUCGGGACCUAAGGCGAGGCCGACAGGCGUAGUCGAUGGAUAACCGGUUGAUAUUCCGGUACCCGCUGUGAAGCGUCAAACAUUGAAUCCAGUGAUGCUAAGCCCGUGAAGCCGUUCCGGACCCUUCGGGGAAUGGAAAGUGGUGGAGCCGGUGGCCCGAGCUGGUAGUAGGUGAGUGAUGGGGUGACGCAGGAAGGUAGUCCAUCCCGGGCGGUGGUUGUCCCGGGGUAAGGGUGUAGGACGUCAGGUAGGUAAAUCCGCCUGGCAAUAGUCUGAGACCUGAUGCCGAGCCGAUUGUGGUGAAGUGGAUGAUCCUAUGCUGUCGAGAAAAGCCUCUAGCGAGUUUCAUGGCGGCCCGUACCCUAAACCGACUCAGGUGGUCAGGUAGAGAAUACCGAGGCGUUCGGGUGAACUAUGGUUAAGGAACUCGGCAAAAUGCCCCCGUAACUUCGGGAGAAGGGGGGCCAUGUCUGGUGAUCCGAUUUACUCGGUGAGCUGGGUGUGGCCGCAGAGACCAGCGAGAAGCGACUGUUUACUAAAAACACAGGUCCGUGCGAAGCCGUAAGGCGAUGUAUACGGACUGACGCCUGCCCGGUGCUGGAACGUUAAGGGGACCGGUUAGUCACAUUUCGGUGUGGCGAAGCUGAGAACUUAAGCGCCAGUAAACGGCGGUGGUAACUAUAACCAUCCUAAGGUAGCGAAAUUCCUUGUCGGGUAAGUUCCGACCUGCACGAAUGGCGUAACGACUUCUCGACUGUCUCAACCAUAGGCCCGGUGAAAUUGCAUUACGAGUAAAGAUGCUCGUUUCGCGCAGCAGGACGGAAAGACCCCGGGACCUUUACUACAGUUUGAUAUUGGUGUUCGGUUCGGCUUGUGUAGGAUAGGUGGGAGACUGUGAAGCAUGCACGCCAGUGUGUGUGGAGUCGUCGUUGAAAUACCACUCUGGUCGUGCUGGAUGUCUAACCUGGGUCCGUGAUCCGGAUCAGGGACAGUGUCUGAUGGGUAGUUUAACUGGGGCGGUUGCCUCCUAAAGAGUAACGGAGGCGCCCAAAGGUUCCCUCAGCCUGGUUGGUAAUCAGGUGUUGAGUGUAAGUGCACAAGGGAGCUUGACUGUGAGACCGACGGGUCGAGCAGGGACGAAAGUCGGGACUAGUGAUCCGGCGGUGGCUUGUGGAAGCGCCGUCGCUCAACGGAUAAAAGGUACCCCGGGGAUAACAGGCUGAUCUUCCCCAAGAGUCCAUAUCGACGGGAUGGUUUGGCACCUCGAUGUCGGCUCGUCGCAUCCUGGGGCUGGAGUCGGUCCCAAGGGUUGGGCUGUUCGCCCAUUAAAGCGGUACGCGAGCUGGGUUUAGAACGUCGUGAGACAGUUCGGUCCCUAUCCGCUGUGCGCGUAGGAAUAUUGAGAAGGGCUGUCCCUAGUACGAGAGGACCGGGACGGACGAACCUCUGGUGUGCCAGUUGUUCUGCCAAGGGCAUGGCUGGUUGGCUACGUUCGGGAGGGAUAACCGCUGAAAGCAUCUAAGCGGGAAGCCUGCUUCGAGAUGAGUAUUCCCACCUCCUUGAGAGGGUAAGGCUCCCAGUAGACGACUGGGUUGAUAGGCCGGAUAUGGAAGCCCUGUAAGGGGUGGAGUUGACCGGUACUAAUAGGCCGAGGGCUUGUCCUCAGUUG